UACGUAGGGGGCUAGCGUUGUCCGGAAUCAUUGGGCUUAAAGCGCGUGUAGGCGGUUCGGUAAGUCCGCUGUGAAAGUCGGGGGCUCAACCCUCGGAUGCCGGUGGAUACUGUCGGACUAGAGUACGGAAGAGGCGAGUGGAAUUCCUGGUGUAGCGGUGAAAUGCGCAGAUAUCAGGAGGAACACCAAUUGCGAAGGCAGCUCGCUGGGACGUUACUGACGCUGAGACGCGAAAGCGUGGGGAGCAAACAGG
RNAcentral lists this ribosomal RNA (253 nucleotides) under uncultured bacterium. Its description in RNAcentral is "partial 16S ribosomal RNA". It matches the Rfam family "Bacterial small subunit ribosomal RNA", at positions 524 to 776 of the family's 1533-position model. The record is from RNAcentral.